AGAUUGAACGCUGGCGGCAUGCCUUACACGUGCAAGUCGAACGGCAGCACGGGAGCAAUCCUGGUGGCGAGUGGCGAACGGGUGAGUAAUAUAUCGGAACGUGCCCAGUCGUGGGGGAUAACGCAGCGAAAGCUGUGCUAAUACCGCAUACGAUCUAUGGAUGAAAGCGGGGGAUCGCAAGACCUCGCGCGAUUGGAGCGGCCGAUAUCAGAUUAGCUAGUUGGUGGGGUAAAAGCCUACCAAGGCGACGAUCUGUAGCUGGUCUGAGAGGGCACCGAG
Molecule: ribosomal RNA, 279 nt
Filed under: uncultured soil bacterium
Lineage: Bacteria
Description: partial 16S ribosomal RNA
Rfam family: Bacterial small subunit ribosomal RNA
Source: RNAcentral